RNAcentral lists this ribosomal RNA (301 nucleotides) under uncultured bacterium. RNAcentral describes it as "partial 16S ribosomal RNA". It matches the Rfam family "Bacterial small subunit ribosomal RNA", at positions 509 to 808 of the family's 1533-position model. The record is from RNAcentral.
CAGUAGCCGCGGUAAUACGUAGGUCCCGAGCGUUGUCCGGAUUUAUUGGGCGUAAAGCGAGCGCAGGCGGUUAGAUAAGUCUGAAGUUAAAGGCUGUGGCUUAACCAUAGUACGCUUUGGAAACUGUUUAACUUGAGUGCAAGAGGGGAGAGUGGAAUUCCAUGUGUAGCGGUGAAAUGCGUAGAUAUAUGGAGGAACACCGGUGGCGAAAGCGGCUCUCUGGCUUGUAACUGACGCUGAGGCUCGAAAGCGUGGGGAGCAAACAGGAUUAGAUACCCGCGUAGUCCCUGUCUCUUAUACC